GCCUACGGCCAUGCCCCCCCAAACAUGCCCAAUAUCGUCUGAUCUCAGAAGCUAAGUAGAGUCGGGCCUGCUUAGUACUUGGAUGGGAGACCAUCUAGGAAUAUCAGGUGCUGUAGGCA
This 119-nucleotide ribosomal RNA is filed under the name Pteropus alecto (black flying fox). The record is from RNAcentral. Lineage: Eukaryota; Metazoa; Chordata; Mammalia; Chiroptera; Pteropodidae.